GACGAACCGUGCGAACGUUGUUCGGAUUUACUGGGCGUAAAGGGCGCGUAGGCGGCGUGUUAAGUCAGCUGUGAAAUCUCCAAGCUUAACUUGGAACGGUCAGCUGAUACUGAUGUGCUAGAGUGCAGAAGGGGCAAUCGGAAUUCUUGGUGUAGCGGUGAAAUGCGUAGAUAUCAAGAGGAACACCUGAGGUGAAGACGGGUUGCUGGGCUGACACUGACGCUGAGGCGCGAAAGCUAGGGUAGCAAACGGG
RNAcentral lists this ribosomal RNA (253 nucleotides) under uncultured bacterium. RNAcentral describes it as "partial 16S ribosomal RNA". It matches the Rfam family "Bacterial small subunit ribosomal RNA", at positions 524 to 776 of the family's 1533-position model. The record is from RNAcentral.